Long non-coding RNA from Folsomia candida, 841 nucleotides. RefSeq lists it as uncharacterized. NCBI's taxonomy places the organism in Eukaryota, Metazoa, Arthropoda, Collembola, Entomobryomorpha, Isotomidae. The transcript is spliced from 4 exons. The record is from RefSeq and is a predicted model, not a curated record.
CUUCAAUCCAUCGAACAAUUUUCAUACAUAUUUUCUUAUUUAUAUGAGAAAAUUGAUUCCCGCACCCUGCCACAAUGAAAAUCGGGUUUGUCGUCAUUUUCGCCAUGUCGCUGAUCUUUUCAACCGCUGCUCAGGGCCCACCCGGUAUCUGUUCGACCCUGGGAGACGCUUGCCGUGACGAUGGUGGGACACCGGUUGGAUGUGAGGAUAUCGUAGCCGAUUCCAUAAUUUGUGUCAAUCCAUAGAUUGGCACUUUCGACGACAGUUGCCGCUCCUUUGCACCAAGCUGUGCAGUCGUAACGGUUGGGUUUCAGCACACGUGCACGUGCCCCGGUGAAUGACAAAAUGCAUUUGGAAGUUUGAAUUCUUGAGGAUUAUAUGGCAAUGAAUAAAUCUGAACAAAAAUUAAAUAAAUCAAAUUAUAUAAGCAAUACCAUUCUACGAUUACGUUAUGUACUCACAAUGGAGAGGUGGUUAUCGCCAAUAUGGACCGGACUAAUUUUAAACUACUCACUUUCAGAAAUAAGCCCACCCGUAUUUUUCGUUUUCCUGAAUGGGCAUGUUUAUGUCAGUGGCGGAAUUUUCCAAAAAAAAUCAGAAUUUUAAAAUCAUUCAUAUCCUAUUAAUCACUCUGACUUCUUAUUUAUUAGCAUCCCUGGGUAUGAAACGUGACGAGGUUAAGUGUCGUGUGGGGGGAUGAAAUAGAUGAAAACAAAGGCAAGAAUGGUAAUUCGAUAUUUAUACUCCAAAAUACAAGUUAUCCCGCUACUUUGUAGCGAAAUUGGGACCUGCCGAGAUGCGUCGGAUCUGAUUGGGAAGCAGGGAUGACCCACAGGACUUG